Arabidopsis lyrata subsp. lyrata is the source of this 1329-nucleotide long non-coding RNA. RefSeq lists it as uncharacterized. NCBI's taxonomy places the organism in Eukaryota, Viridiplantae, Streptophyta, Magnoliopsida, Brassicales, Brassicaceae. The transcript has 4 exons. The record is from RefSeq and is a predicted model, not a curated record.
AAGGUAGAAAUUGGAAACUCAAUCUCUUUCAGUUUGAAGAUUCUGAAGAUUAGUAUCGAAUUCAUCUUGAUUACCAUCUGCUUCAAAGGCUUAAAUUUCUAGCUGCUUUCGGGUCAAUCUAUUGGAUUGAACAUAGAAGAUGCAAUGAUAUUCACGGUUUUCUCAAAUGACUGAACUACUCCUAUCAACAAAAAAGAGAAGAGGAUACUUGUUUUGUUCAGUAUAAGGCGAACACAUCGAGAAGAGAUGUUUGCAUCAUUUAUUCGCACCAAUCAGAGGUCUUGAAUAUUGGCGCCACAAGUGGAACACCUUCAACAUGUCUUCUACUCUUUGAUAUCCCUCAAAAAAGCAAAUGAUACAGCCAUUGUUGCUGGUAAGGUUUCUGAACUUGUAAUAUAUUACAAUAUGGUAAUGAGAAAGAAUGUGUUUAGAGAGUGGAAAAUGAACGACUAUUUAUAGAGUUUGGAUAGUUAGUAUGUUAUAGGGUUUAGAGAAUAUUUAAAAAUCUUGAUGACCAAGCAUUUAAUAUAUUUCGAAAUCUUUAAAUUGGGAAAUACAUAGAAUAUGCUAGGUUGAUGCUUAAACAAAUUAGGAUAAAAUCUUUUGGUUAUGAAGCAACUUCCUUUUCGAUAAGGUGAAAUGAAUAUCGAAUUAUAUGUAGGAAACAAAUGAUAAAUGUAGCAUUAAAAUAGGAAACAGUUUGCCUUACGAAAAUCAAUUUGUUAUAACUACAUAUACUCUCCAUAUCUUGAAAAAAUCAGAGAGUAAAUGUCGUUUGGAUUUAAUGUAGAGAGUAUCGAUUAAGGAAUGAUCCGAGUCAAAUAUUUCGGGUAAAAUAAUCAAAAUAUGGAAGGAUCCGAUUGACAGAUAUUCGGGUCAAAAUCAAAAAUCCGGGUCAAAAUCUUUAAAAAUACCCGACCCGAUUGGAAAGAGCAAAUUUGUAUUUCAAAAAUGUUAAGUAGAUUAAUUGCUCCUGACGUUUUCCUCAUCUGAAUUUACAACCGAUUUUACUUGCUUUAUUUAUUUUUUUAUUCUUAUUUUCUGUUUAGCUUAAUUCAAAACAUGUUAGUCUAUUGUGUGAACAUGAGAGCUCUGUGGAUUUCGACCCUAAAGUAUUGCAAUUGAUCUCUUAUUUGAGAGAGUAGUCUUAGGUCUAAUUUGACUCACAUCACUCCACUAAAAUUUGAAAUUUGUGUUAUGUUCCUUUAAUUUUUGUAAUGUUUUUUUUAUUUUUUUAUGUUUAAACCCCUAAAAUUCUAAAUCGGUACUUUUUUGUACUUCUUUAUGUUUUGACCCCAUUAUAUACAUGUUGUUAUAUAUUUUUUUGUU